RNAcentral lists this long non-coding RNA (379 nucleotides) under Elaeis guineensis (African oil palm). RNAcentral describes it as "long non-coding RNA (EGUI_LNC017322)". The record is from RNAcentral. Lineage: Eukaryota; Viridiplantae; Streptophyta; Magnoliopsida; Arecales; Arecaceae.
GUGUAGCAUCUUUCUGAACUCCAUCGACUGUCCAAGCUUCCAUAAUACCAUCUAGACUUCUCCGAUAAUGAGCUUCUCCAUUCAUCUACCGGACUGCUCCAAAUGCUCUCUGGCUUCACUAUCAGCCGAUUUUCUACAGUGAUUGACUAUUCUCCGAAUCCCUUCCAGACUUCUUCCGGCCAUGGACGACUCUACUCCGAACUUCUUUCGGACUUCGUCAAUAUUCAAGCUUCUCCAACAAUGGGAUUUCUAUAGUAACCAGACUCCAUCCAAGUUUCUACGGUGGUCGACCACCUUCCGAAUUCCAUCCGAGCUCCUACGAGAACUGGAUUUCAGUCGAACUCCUAUAGUGGAUGGAUCCCAGAUGAAUUUCGACAAC